UACAGAGGUCUCAAGCGUUGUUCGGAUUCAUUGGGCGUAAAGGGUGCGUAGGCGGCGCGGUAAGUCGGGUGUGAAAUCCCCAGGCUCAACCUGGGAACUGCAUCCGAUACUGGAUGGCUUGAAUUCGGGAGAGGGAUGCAGAAUUCCAGGUGUAGCGGUGAAAUGCGUAGAUAUCUGGAGGAAUACCGGUGGCGAAGGCGGCAUCCUGGACCGACAUUGACGCUGAUGAGCGAAAGCUAGGGGAGCAAACGGG
Molecule: ribosomal RNA, 253 nt
Filed under: uncultured bacterium
Lineage: Bacteria
Description: partial 16S ribosomal RNA
Rfam family: Bacterial small subunit ribosomal RNA
Source: RNAcentral